CGCUUCGCUCGUGUGAAGUGGAAAUCCUUUUGUGCCUGGGUGGGCACAAAAGAUUACAAUGUAUAGCGGGAAGAUCU
This 77-nucleotide small RNA is filed under the name Flavobacterium sp. 245. RNAcentral describes it as "Flavo-1 RNA". Lineage: Bacteria; Pseudomonadati; Bacteroidota; Flavobacteriia; Flavobacteriales; Flavobacteriaceae. The record is from RNAcentral.